CCUACGGGUGGCAGCAGUGGGGAAUAUUGGACAAUGGGCGAAAGCCUGAUCCAGCCAUGCCGCGUGUGUGAAGAAGGCCUUCGGGUUGUAAAGCACUUUCAGUGGGGAAGAAAGCCUUGGGGCUAAUACCCUCGAGGAAGGACAUCACCCACAGAAGAAGCACCGGCUAACUCCGUGCCAGCAGCCGCGGUAAUACGGAGGGUGCGAGCGUUAAUCGGAAUUACUGGGCGUAAAGCGCGCGUAGGCGGUCUGAUAAGCCGGUUGUGAAAGCCCGGGGCUCAACCUGGGAACGGCAUCCGGAACUGUCAGGCUAGAGUGCAGGAGAGGAAGGUAGAAUUCCCGGUGUAGCGGUGAAAUGCGUAGAGAUCGGGAGGAAUACCAGUGGCGAAGGCGGCCUUCUGGACUGACACUGACGCUGAGGUGCGAAAGCGUGGGUAGCAAACAGGAUUAGAUACCCCGGUAGUC
RNAcentral lists this ribosomal RNA (465 nucleotides) under Vreelandella stevensii. Its description in RNAcentral is "partial 16S ribosomal RNA". It matches the Rfam family "Bacterial small subunit ribosomal RNA", at positions 338 to 795 of the family's 1533-position model. The record is from RNAcentral. Lineage: Bacteria; Pseudomonadati; Pseudomonadota; Gammaproteobacteria; Oceanospirillales; Halomonadaceae.